AGGGCUGACGAGUCCGAAAUAGGACGAAACGCGCGUUCUGGAU
Molecule: non-coding RNA, 43 nt
Filed under: Schistosoma mansoni
Lineage: Eukaryota; Metazoa; Platyhelminthes; Trematoda; Strigeidida; Schistosomatidae
Source: RNAcentral